UGUGUAGAUGAAACCUGCUAGA
RNAcentral lists this non-coding RNA (22 nucleotides) under Rattus norvegicus (Norway rat). The record is from RNAcentral. Lineage: Eukaryota; Metazoa; Chordata; Mammalia; Rodentia; Muridae.